UACCAGACUCCUACGGGAGGCAGCAGUGGGGAAUAUUGCACAAUGGGGGAAACCCUGAUGCAGCGACGCCGCGUGAGUGAAGAAGUAAUUCGUUAUGUAAAGCUCUAUCAGCAGGGAAGAAAAUGACGGUACCUGGGGAGGAAGCUCCGGCUAACUACGUGCCAGCAGCCGCGGUAAUACGUAGGGAGCGAGCGUUGUCCGGAAUUACUGGGUGUAAAGGGAGCGUAGACGGUUAAGCAAGUCUGGAGUGAAAGGCGGGGGCCCAACCCCCGGACUGCUCUGGAAACUGUGUAACUAGGGUGCAGGAGAGGUAAGCGGAAUUCCUAGUGUAGCGGUGAAAUGCGUAGAUAUUAGGAGGAACACCAGUGGCGAAGGCGGCUUACUGGACUGUAACUGACGUUGAGGCUCGAAAGCGUGGGGAGCAAACAGGAUUAGAUACCCGGGUA
This 446-nucleotide ribosomal RNA is filed under the name uncultured bacterium. RNAcentral's name for it is "bacterial SSU rRNA". It matches the Rfam family "Bacterial small subunit ribosomal RNA", at positions 329 to 792 of the family's 1533-position model. The record is from RNAcentral.